Molecule: ribosomal RNA, 400 nt
Filed under: uncultured bacterium
Lineage: Bacteria
Description: bacterial SSU rRNA
Rfam family: Bacterial small subunit ribosomal RNA
Source: RNAcentral
GGGGAAUAUUGGACAAUGGGCGCAAGCCUGAUCCAGCCAUGCCGCGUGAGUGAUGAAGGCCUUAGGGUUGUAAAGCUCUUUCAGUGGGGAAGAUAAUGACGGUACCCACAGAAGAAGCCCCGGCUAACUUCGUGCCAGCAGCCGCGGUAAUACGAAGGGGGCUAGCGUUGUUCGGAUUUACUGGGCGUAAAGCGCACGUAGGCGGAUUGGUCAGUUAGAGGUGAAAUCCCGAAGCUCAACUUCGGAACUGCCUUUAAUACUGCCAGUCUAGAGUCCGGAAGAGGUAAGUGGAACUCCUAGUGUAGAGGUGGAAUUCGUAGAUAUUAGGAAGAACACCAGUGGCGAAGGCGGCUUACUGGUCCGGUACUGACGCUGAGGUGCGAAAGCGUGGGGAGCAAAC